UACGGGGGGAGCAAGCGUUGUUCGGAUUUACUGGGCGUAAAGGGCGCGUAGGCGGCCAGCGCAAGUCGGUUGUGAAAUCUCCGGGCUUAACUCGGAAAGGUCAACCGAUACUGCGCGGCUAGAGUGCGGAAGGGGCAACUGGAAUUCUCGGUGUAGCGGUGAAAUGCGUAGAUAUCGAGAGGAACACCUGCGGCGAAGGCGGGUAGCUGGGCCGACACUGACGCUGAGGUACGAAAGCGUGGGGAGCGAACAGG
RNAcentral lists this ribosomal RNA (254 nucleotides) under uncultured bacterium. RNAcentral describes it as "partial 16S ribosomal RNA". It matches the Rfam family "Bacterial small subunit ribosomal RNA", at positions 524 to 776 of the family's 1533-position model. The record is from RNAcentral.